RNAcentral lists this long non-coding RNA (534 nucleotides) under Dasypus novemcinctus (nine-banded armadillo). RNAcentral describes it as "lncRNA (ENSDNOG00000050185.1)". The record is from RNAcentral. Lineage: Eukaryota; Metazoa; Chordata; Mammalia; Cingulata; Dasypodidae.
CGGCCCUCGGCUCCCGGAGCGGGCGCUGCCCCGGGCCACGCCUCAGCCCACCCGCGCCAGCCUCCGGGCGCCACCUCAGUGGGGCGGCGCGCCCCGCAGCCGCUGCCUUCCUCUUCCCUUCAGGCCCCUCGUCCCCAGCUGCGGAGCCCCCUCGGAAAUCUGAGCCUUUAGUUUCGUGGUGCCUUGGAGAAGCAGUGGCCACAUAAGGGAUGGUGCAGUGUGGAGGAAGGACUGUCACCACAGGAGGCAAGGUGAUGAUCAAGGCCAAGAAUUCAGCAGGGAAAAGAAAGGGGAGCAAGAGAGUCCAGGAUUGUGGAGUAGAAUGGUCCACUAUCUGGAAUUGCCAGAUUAUUUCCUCAUGAUUCAUGAUUAGAUUUUAGGCUAAGCAGUUUUGGCAAGAAUAGGAUGCAGGUGAUGUAUGUAUGUCUUUUUUUUAAGGAUUUAUUUAUUUUAUUUUAUUUCUUCCCCCUCCUCCCUUGUUUGUGCUCACUGUCUGCUCUUGGUUCUCCACAGUGGCGCAGGCCAGCUUGCUUU